CGCGUAGGCGGCCUGCCAAGUCAGGGGUGAAAGCCCCCAGCUCAACUGGGGAAGUGCCUUUGAUACUGGCGGGCUCGAGCGAGGUAGGGGUCGUGGGAACUUCCGGUGGAGCGGUGAAAUGCGUUGAUAUCGGAAGGAACGCCGGUGGCGAAAGCGCACGACUGGACCUCUUCUGACGCUGAGGCGCGAAAGCCAGGGGAGCAAACG
RNAcentral lists this ribosomal RNA (207 nucleotides) under uncultured bacterium. RNAcentral describes it as "partial 16S ribosomal RNA". It matches the Rfam family "Bacterial small subunit ribosomal RNA", at positions 568 to 774 of the family's 1533-position model. The record is from RNAcentral.